This 1338-nucleotide ribosomal RNA is filed under the name uncultured bacterium. RNAcentral's name for it is "bacterial SSU rRNA". It matches the Rfam family "Bacterial small subunit ribosomal RNA", at positions 28 to 1387 of the family's 1533-position model. The record is from RNAcentral.
GAGGAACGCUGGCGGCGCGCCUAACACAUGCAAGUCGAACGAGCGAGAGAGAGCUUGCUUUCUCGAGCGAGUGGCGAACGGGUGAGUAACGCGUGAGGAACCUGCCUCAAAGAGGGGGACAACAGUUGGAAACGACUGCUAAUACCGCAUAAGCCCACGGGUCGGCAUCGACCAGAGGGAAAAGGAGCAAUCCGCUUUGAGAUGGCCUCGCGUCCGAUUAGCUAGUUGGUGAGGUAACGGCCCACCAAGGCAACGAUCGGUAGCCGGACUGAGAGGUUGAACGGCCACAUUGGGACUGAGACACGGCCCAGACUCCUACGGGAGGCAGCAGUGGGGAAUAUUGCACAAUGGGGGAAACCCUGAUGCAGCGACGCCGCGUGGAGGAAGAAGGUCUUCGGAUUGUAAACUCCUGUUGUUGAGGAAGAUAAUGACGGUACUCAACAAGGAAGUGACGGCUAACUACGUGCCAGCAGCCGCGGUAAAACGUAGGUCACAAGCGUUGUCCGGAAUUACUGGGUGUAAAGGGAGCGCAGGCGGGAAGACAAGUUGGAAGUGAAAUCUAUGGGCUCAACCCAUAAACUGCUUUCAAAACUGUUUUUCUUGAGUAGUGCAGAGGUAGGCGGAAUUCCCGGUGUAGCGGUGGAAUGCGUAGAUAUCGGGAGGAACACCAGUGGCGAAGGCGGCCUACUGGGCACCAACUGACGCUGAGGCUCGAGAGUGUGGGUAGCAAACAGGAUUAGAUACCCUGGUAGUCCACACCGUAAACGAUGAUUACUAGGUGUUGGAGGAUUGACCCCUUCAGUGCCGCAGUUAACACAAUAAGUAAUCCACCUGGGGAGUACGACCGCAAGGUUGUAACUCAAAGGAAUUGACGGGGGCCCGCACAAGCAGUGGAGUAUGUGGUUUAAUUCGACGCAACGCGAAGAACCUUACCAAGUCUUGACAUCCUGCGACGCACAUAGAAAUAUGUGUUUCCUUCGGGACGCAGAGACAGGUGGUGCAUGGUUGUCGUCAGCUCGUGUCGUGAGAUGUUGGGUUAAGUCCCGCAACGAGCGCAACCCUUACUGUCAGUUACUACGCAAGAGGACUCUGGCAGGACUGCCGUUGACAAAACGGAGGAAGGUGGGGAUGACGUCAAAUCAUCAUGCCCCUUAUGACUUGGGCUACACACGUACUACAAUGGCGUUAAACAAAGAGAAGCAAGACCGCGAGGUGGAGCAAAACUCAGAAACAACGUCCCAGUUCGGACUGCAGGCUGCAACUCGCCUGCACGAAGUCGGAAUUGCUAGUAAUCGUGGAUCAGCAUGCCACGGUGAAUACGUUCCCGGGCCUUGCACA